This 404-nucleotide ribosomal RNA is filed under the name Fusobacteriota bacterium. Its description in RNAcentral is "Fusobacteria bacterium partial 16S ribosomal RNA". It matches the Rfam family "Bacterial small subunit ribosomal RNA", at positions 355 to 776 of the family's 1533-position model. Lineage: Bacteria; Fusobacteriati; Fusobacteriota. The record is from RNAcentral.
UGGGGAAUAUUGCACAAUGGAGGGAACUCUGAUGCAGCGACGCCGCGUGAGUGAUGAAGGAAUUCGUUUCGUAAAACUCUGUUCUAUGGGAAGAAAAGGACUGUACCAUAGGAGAAAGCUCCGGCUAAAUACGUGCCAGCAGCCGCGGUAAUACGUUUGGAGCGAGCGUUGUCCGGAAUUAUUGGGCGUAAAGGGUGCGCAGGCGGCUUUACAAGUUGGAUGUGAAAUAUUGUGGCUCAACCACAAACGUGCAUCCAAAACUGCAAAGCUUGAGUUAAGGAGAGGUAAGUGGAAUUCCUGGUGUAGCGGUGGAAUGCGUAGAUAUCAGGAGGAAUACCGGUGGCGAAGGCGACUUACUGGACUUAAACUGACGCUCAGGCACGAAAGCGUGGGGAGCAAACAGG